RNAcentral lists this ribosomal RNA (373 nucleotides) under uncultured bacterium. RNAcentral describes it as "bacterial SSU rRNA". It matches the Rfam family "Bacterial small subunit ribosomal RNA", at positions 29 to 394 of the family's 1533-position model. The record is from RNAcentral.
AUUGAACGCUGGCGGCAUGCCUUACACAUGCAAGUCGAGCGGCAGCGCGGGAGCAAUCCUGGCGGCGAGCGGCGAACGGGUGAGUAAUGCUUCGGAAUCUGCCCCUUCAGUGGGGAAGUAACCAGUCGAAAGAACUGGCUAAUAACCGCAUACGAACUGAGGUUGAAAGCAGGGGAUCGCAAGACCUUGCGCUGAUGGAUGAGCCGAAGUCGGAUUAGCUUGUUGGUGGGGUAAUGGCCUACCAAGGCGACGAUCCGUAGCUGGUCUGAGAGGACGACCAGCCACACUGGGACUGAGACACGGCCCAGACUCCUACGGGAGGGCAGCAGUGGGGGAAUAUUGCGCAAUGGGGGAAACCCGUACGACGCAGCCA